Molecule: ribosomal RNA, 504 nt
Filed under: uncultured bacterium
Lineage: Bacteria
Description: partial 16S ribosomal RNA
Rfam family: Bacterial small subunit ribosomal RNA
Source: RNAcentral
AUUGAACGCUGGCGGCAGGCCUAACACAUGCAAGUCGAGCGGUAACACAGAGAGCUUGCUCUCGGGUGACGAGCGGCGGACGGGUGAGUAAUGUCUGGGAAACUGCCUGAUGGAGGGGGAUAACUACUGGAAACGGUAGCUAAUACCGCAUAACGUCGCAAGACCAAAGAGGGGGACCUUCGGGCCUCUUGCCAUCAGAUGUGCCCAGAUGGGAUUAGCUAGUAGGUGGGGUAACGGCUCACCUAGGCGACGAUCCCUAGCUGGUCUGAGAGGAUGACCAGCCACACUGGAACUGAGACACGGUCCAGACUCCUACGGGAGGCAGCAGUGGGGAAUAUUGCACAAUGGGCGCAAGCCCGAUGCAGCCAUGCCGCGUGUAUGAAGAAGGCCUUCGGGUUGUAAAGUACUUUCAGCGGGGAGGAAGGCGAUAAGGUUAAUAACCUUGUCGAUUGACGUUACCCGCAGAAGAAGCACCGGCUAACUCCGUGCCAGCCGCCGCCGUAA